RNAcentral lists this ribosomal RNA (593 nucleotides) under uncultured bacterium. Its description in RNAcentral is "bacterial SSU rRNA". It matches the Rfam family "Bacterial small subunit ribosomal RNA", at positions 8 to 612 of the family's 1533-position model. The record is from RNAcentral.
AGAGUUUGAUCCUGGCUCAGAGUGAACGCUGGCGGCGUGCCUAACACAUGCAAGUCGAACGAGAACGGAUAUAAGUUUACUUAUAUUGUCAGCUAAGUGGCGCACGGGUGAGUAAUAUAUAGUUAAUCUGCCCUGAAGAAGAGAAUAAUUGUUGGAAACGACUUGUAAUGCUCUAUAUGCCUUUAUCACAUAAGUGAGCAAGGGAAAUAUUUAUAGCUUCGGGAUGAGACUGUACGGUAUCAGCUAGUUGGUGAGGUAAUGGCUCACCAAGGCUAUGACAUCUAACUGGUUUGAGAGGAUGAUCAGUCACACUGGAACUGAGACACGGUCCAGACUCCUACGGGAGGCAGCAGUGGGGAAUAUUGCACAAUGGAGGAAACUCUGAUGCAGCAACGCCGCGUGGAGGAUGACACAUUUCGGUGCGUAAACUCCUUUUAUUAGGGAAGAUAAUGACGGUACCUAAUGAAUAAGCACCGGCUAACUCCGUGCCAGCAGCCGCGGUAAUACGGGGGGUGCAAGCGUUACUCGGAAUCACUGGGCGUAAAGAGCAUGUAGGCUGAUUAGUAAGUUGGAAGUGAAAUCCUAUGGCUCAA